RNAcentral lists this long non-coding RNA (192 nucleotides) under Cyanistes caeruleus (blue tit). RNAcentral describes it as "lncRNA (ENSCCEG00000006282.1)". Lineage: Eukaryota; Metazoa; Chordata; Aves; Passeriformes; Paridae. The record is from RNAcentral.
AUGCAAUGCUGCCUGAUCAGCCAAACAGAGGGCCAUUGCUGCUGGGCAGGAUGUGACAAGUGUGAUGGCUUGCAAGGCUAUGGUGUACACAGAAGAGUGAUUUCAUUCAAACAAGAAGUUGUUGCUAGGGGCUUGAGAGUGAACUGGACUCUGAAGAGGCACGCGGAGAGAGGCAGCAUCAGGAGAGGAUGA